Molecule: ribosomal RNA, 618 nt
Filed under: Cystoseira schiffneri
Lineage: Eukaryota; Phaeophyceae; Fucales; Sargassaceae
Description: SSU rRNA
Rfam family: Eukaryotic small subunit ribosomal RNA
Source: RNAcentral
CAGCAGCCGGCGUAAUUCCAGCUCCAAYAGCGUAUAUUAAAGUUGCUGCAGUUAAAAAGCUCGUAGUUGGAUUUGUGGCGCGGUCGUCCGGCGGGGCUUCCGGGUUCGUUGUAUCCCGGGGCCGUUUGUCUGGGUUCUUGGCCGCCCCAUUCUUCGGUAGCGUGUCGCUGGCAUUAGGUUGUCGGCUUCUUCGCGCCGAUCGUUUACUGUGAAAAAAUUAGAGUGUUCAAAGCAGGCUUAGGCCGUUGGAUACAUUAGCAUGGAAUAAUGAGAUAGGGCCACGGCGGUCUAUUUUGUUGGUUUGCACGUUGUGGUAAUGAUUAACAGGAACGGUUGGGGGUAUUCGUAUUCAAUUGUCAGAGGUGAAAUUCUUGGAUUUAUGGAAGACGAACUACUGCGAAAGCAUUUACCAAGGAUGUUUUCAUUAAUCAAGAACGAAAGUUAGGGGAUCGAAGAUGAUUAGAUACCAUCGUAGUCUUAACCAUAAACUAUGCCGACUAGGGAUUGGCGGUCGUUAACUUACAGGACUCCGUCAGCACCUUCCGAGAAAUCAAAGUCUUUGGGUUCCGGGGGGAGUAUGGUCGCAAGGCUGAAAACUUAAAGAAAUUACGGCACGGG